RNAcentral lists this long non-coding RNA (11633 nucleotides) under Selaginella moellendorffii. RNAcentral's name for it is "long non-coding RNA (SMOE_LNC002065)". The record is from RNAcentral. Lineage: Eukaryota; Viridiplantae; Streptophyta; Lycopodiopsida; Selaginellales; Selaginellaceae.
CUGCAAAAGACUCCCCUACUCCUGCUAAGAGCCGGAUGGACAACGGCGACGGUCAUGGGCUGGGCUCUAGCCGCGGCCUUCCAUCGACUGGCGGUGGGCAUGAGCUACACAUACCUGGAACCAGCCCCGAGUACCCGCGCUGCAACAGCAUAAGAAGAGGCUGAGCGGGCUUAUUAUUUGUACUAGUAAUUGCUGGGCGGUUGGCAAAGUUUUCCACCAUAGGAAUUAUGUCAGCGUACAUAAGAGCGCAUGCAAGACUUUACCAAAAUGGGUCCACGCUUGAUCUUCUUCCAGAGAGUUUUUCUCCAUCGGGGACAACAUAUGCUUGGAAACUGAGUAAAAAGGAACUUCCAGCGAGGAGACCAGUGCGUUUCAAGGUGGCCUCCAAAGAUGAGUAUCAUGUCAAGUCCAAGCUACUUUAGUCACAAAUCACAAUAUCAAAUGUCACUAAAAGAACAAACAUCAGAGGAGUGAAGUUCUGAUCGUCGGCCCCGGGGGGGAUGCAGUCUAAAGAGCCGACAGAAACAAAACCGUCUAUCGCCGUCCAGCGCCCGCCAUGAGAUCCAUGCCUGCGCCUGUCUAAAUCCAUCGCCACUUGAUCGCUUAGCAUCCUUGAUCUUGUCCCAAGAAAAAUGGCCUAAAGUUUCAAGGGCGUGUGAAAAAGCCCUAUAGAUCACUUCGCCUCUGGGAGUGGCUGGGAAGAUGAUGUAGUGAUCAUAGAAUCUGUUGCAAGGUGAGAAUUUUCUGUGUUCUUCUCACUUAAAAGAUGGAGGCCUUAUGGCGCUCAAGGUAUGUGUUGAAUUUCUUUCUCUCUAAUUUUCUUUUUUCUUUUCUCUCUCUUUUGUUGUGUACAGCCGAGGGGGGAAGGCCCUACGGCGCUCAAGGUGUUGUUGAAUUUCUUUCCUUUGAUUUUUCUCUAAUUUUGCUUUUUGUUUUUGUUUUUCAGCCGAAUCGGGAAAACCUAGGGAAGCUUACCAUUGAACCUUCAGAUGCAUAUACUAUCUUUGUUACCAGUCGAAGACAUAGUGUGGUCGCAUUUGGUUUGCAAACAAUGGGAUUCUCUGCUAAAUGAUCCACAUUUCAAAGCAUUAUGGGCCCGAAACAGCCGCUACAGAACACCUACUUUCGUAUUGCUGCAGGAAGGAACUAACACAGAACUUUUAAAACAGCGAACUCGCUACUACAAAUAUCCUUCAGGGCCUUACAGGUUGCAAGAUUUACCUCGGGGUUGGGACUCCUGGCUUACACCGGAAGGUUCAGAACUAUUCUUGUCCGCAGGUGGCCUGGUCGUAUGCAUCAUCGAGGAGAAUUACGAGACACGUUUCUUCGUUGGGAACCCGCUAACGCAACAAUGGGUGACCGUACCUGCACUUAAAACUUCAGCACAGUGUCGCCGGUCGUUCAUGCUGAUCCCGUACAUGAGUGAAGGUUUGAUGUUCUUCAGGAUGGCGAUUGACCCAUAUUUGUUCGACUCCAAAGUGGGGAUUUGGACAUUUCCUCCCUAUCAAACCAUGUGGACGUUGUCCUCCAACACGUUGCACAUACAAGGAGUGCAAUACGGUCUUGGGAUUUGUCAGCAGCACAGUGCAGUUGUGCUGCUGGAGAUUGAUGAUCUGGGAGCUCUUAGCGAAUCGAAGUGGCUGUGGGCCUGGGACGUGGGUACAAUUCCGUCUUUGUCUUACUCGUACAUGCUCGAAAUUGGCGGUGAGAUUGGGAUACUCGUUGCAACGAUGGAUUGGGAGGUCGUGGUUUUGGUGCUGGACAGGAAGAGUGGUAAAGAAUGGAGCUGGAGGAAAGUCUCAGCAUUACCCAAACACUUCUACAGGCACUUGCACGACUGGGUGCCUUUGUUUGACAGCAGGACAUGUUGUACACAUGGCAAUCUUACGUUCUUGUGUGUAGGGAUGCAGGUUCUGGUAUUUGAUUCCCAACGCAUGACAUGGGAGCUGGUUGGGAAACGUUUGUUGCGUACAAUGGAGCUGCUUGUUUGGGUGCCCGACUUCACAGCUGUCCCAAAUGUUAACACGCCCAGCGAGAAGUUGAAGCAAAGUUGUGCCAGCAAAUAUCCAGGGGGCAGCUUUCAUAUUACACCUGGAACGUUCUCAGGUGAAGAGAAGAGUUCCCUAUAUACAUGUGCGGUUAUUGAUUUGUACUUGGUCGAAUUUUCUAGAGGUGGAGGCUCUUUCAAAGCGUGGGAUGCCAUGGCAACAGAUUGGAGAGGUCGCACUUGAUCGGAACAAAGGUAACCGUACCAUUUUAUUCUGUGUGAUUUCCUUGUUGACAAAGUGUUUGGGCAGCGGUAUUUAUGCUACAUUUGAUUGCUUAAAUGGGGUUCUUUAAUUUGAGAAAACCGCGCUGAGAUCUUUUCUAGAGCUGGAGGCUCUUUCAAUGGCAACAGAUUGGAGAGGUCGCGGUUGAUCGGAACAAAGGUAACCGUAGCAUUUUCUUGUGUGUGAUUUCCUUGUUAACAAAGUGUUUGGGCAGCGGUAUUUAGGUUAUAUUUGAUUGCUAAAUUGGUUCUUUAAAUUAUUAUUAUGCUUUAUUUUGUUAAAGUGGAACUUUUCAUUAUCCCACUUAUGGUGUGUGGCCACAUGCCAUUUUUAUAACAACAAUAAAAAAUUGAAGUUUUAGCUUUAUAAUUUAUAGAUUAAAAACUUUUCAUAUGAUUUUGUGUUAUAAUAUUGUGAAAUAUAAAAAAUAAAUUAAAAAACUGAUAGAAAUAUUAAUAAAUAUUAAUUAAGUACUAGGAAAUGCACAUGCUAAUUAAUGUCCCACUUUACUGAAUAAGUUCCACUUUAACAAAAUAAAGCAUUAUUUGAGAAAACCAGCAUAAGCGCUGAGAUCUUUGUGCCAUAAUGAUCAUAGCAAAAUUAUUUGCUGUAGCUUUGAAGUUUUGGUUUUGUCUGCCAGCAUACUAUACUCUAAUACUGUGCUCAUUUGCUUUGUUAGAAGGUACUUUAUCAUCCGUUACAGGAAAUUCAUUCCAUCUCUGCAGGAAUAGCACCAGCAACUUUAAGUUUUUUAAGAAAACAUACACGUUCAUGGUCAAUCGUCUUCUUUCAAAUAGUUGGAGACGAAUCUUGUGAACAGUAACUUGCUUUAGUCUGACGGUGAAAAUGUUGUGCACAGCUGCUUCUUACAAAUAAAAAGGUUCCACCCAAUCGCUUAAAAGAAUCUGUCCACUCUUCAAGCAAUGGCUUGGAAGCGGUUUGUAGUUUCAUUUCUUCUCUCCAAACUUACCUUUUGAAUUUACAGAUCACUAGCCGUCUAGGCACCAGACCAAAGGUGGCCCAGCUUCUCAUGGAUGCGUUUUACCUGCACGGCAAGAAGCUGCACGCGAGCGGAGCAAUCAAAAUUGUCGUCUCCCAUUGCAGGUAGCUGGAGUGCUCAAGAGGCUGCGAAAGACUCCUCUACUCCUGCUAAGAGCCGGAUGGACAACUGGGCAGCAGUGGCCACGACUGGAACAAGCCCCGAAUAUCCGUGCUGAAACAGCACAACAGAUGGUUGAUGAUUGCAAACCUUCGAAACCAUUAUUCAAGAUUUUUAGGUCUGAAGAACCUCAAGAGCAUAGUUUAGGUGUUUUUAUUUUGUUAUUUUAACAUUAGUAUUAGAGAUGCAAUGGUGGACCAAGAUAAAUGUUAAAAGCCUAAUGUAGAUGGUGGCUAAUGGAGAUGUAGAGAUUUGAAUUAUCCAUGAAAUUGUUUAUGUCCUUAAUAAAAAUUAGCAAUAGAUGCUAAAAGAGAUUCAUGGCAUGAUAAUUGCUAUACAUGGGCAUGUUAGUAAUGCUCCAAAUAAAAGAUCAAACUUAAAUUUUUCUAAUGAUGGUAGAAUGUCAACUUGGUUAACAAAUGUGAAAAAGUUCUUAGCUGCUAAAGGAAUCCUAAAUGUAAAAGAUUUAGUAAUUAUUCCAGUGGUUUUACAUGAUUCAUAUGAGAAUAUCCCAAAAGAAUCACCAUCUUCUCGAAAGUGAACCCAGCGUGACUCGAACACGCAACCUUCUGAUCUGGAGUCAGACGCGCUACCGUUGCGCCAUGGAUCCCUCUCACGUGGAAGAACAGAAUAUUCUCAUGGCAAACAGAUUUUAGGUCUAUCUUAAACUGAUUUUUUAAUGGUAAAAUUGUUAAGGAUCUAUAUCUACUAUAGAUAAGUUUAAAGUUACUUUUCAUUUACAUUUUACCCCUCAAAACUACUUGCAUAGAAUGGGAAAAUUGAGGGGUAGGAUGUUGAAAGGAAGAAAGAUUGAGCAAUUUCUAAUUGUGAAAAUAUUGCAAAGACUUUAACAAGGAUUUAGCAUAUUCAAUACUUGUGCACAAGCACUAGUUUUGCGAUAGCACGUUUCUCAAAUAAUAAUUUUAAAGAACCUUAUUUAAGAAAUCAAAUGUAGUGUAAAUACACCCAAACACUUUGUCACCAAGGAAAUCACACACAAGAAACUGCUACGGUUACCUUUGUCUGUGACCUCCCCAAUCUGUUGCCAUGCCAUCCCACGCUUUGAAAGAGCCUCCACCUCAAUGAGAGAGAGAGAGAGAGGGAGAGAGAGAGAGAGAGAGAGAGAGAGAGAGAGAGAGAGAACACUUCUCCAUCACCUGAGAACAUUCCAUAGCCGGCAUCAAAGCUGCCCCCUUCAACUUCUCGCUGGGCGUGUUAACAUUUGGGACGGCUGCGAAGUCAGGCACCCACACAAGCAGCCCCAUUGUACACAACAAACAUUUCCCAAGCUCCCAUGUCAUGCGUUGGGAUUCAAAUACCACAACCUGCAUCCCUACGCAUAAAAACGUGAGAUUGCCAUGUGUACAGCAUGUCCUGCUGUCAAACAAAGACACAAAGCUGCUCUCCUUGUGGAAGUGUUUGUCGAAGUGUUUGGAUAAUGUUGAGACUUUCCUCCAGCCCCAUUCUUUACCACUCUUCCUGUCCAGCACCAGAACCACGACCUCCCAAUCCCUCGUUGCAGCGAGUAACUUAAUCUCACCGCCAAUUUCGAGCAUGUACGGGCUAGACAAAGACGGAAGUGUGUCCAUGUCCCAGGCCCACAACCACUUCGAUUCGCUAAGAGCUUCCAGAUCAUCAAUCUCCAGCAGCACAACUGCACUGUGCUGCUUACAACACCCAAUUGCACUCCUUGUAUGUGCAAUGUGUUGGAGGAGAACGUCCAGAUGGUUUGAUAGGGAGGAAGUGUCCAAAUCCCCACUUUGGAGUCGAACAAAUAUGGGUCAAUUGCAAUCCUGAAGAACAUCGAACCUUUGUUGAAUCCUUUCGGUGCCUGCAUGAGGCUCCUGCACAAGCUUGUGGAGGAGCUGCCAAAUUUUAUGUUGAAUUUGCAUGGGAGAACUCCACCAAGUUUCAUGGGGUGGAGACUUGCGAUUAUGGGAAGUCCCUCCAAAAGCCGGACCAUUCUACGCUACCUUCAUUCAAUUCAAGGAUAGUCCAUACAAGAAGCAUCAACAAAGAAACAAAGACUUUCCCUUCCAUUCCAGUAUGGACACUCACAAGCACGGAGGCAAUCGUCUGGAGAAGAAGAGAGUCCAAGUCUGCGCGUGGCAAGACGCAAUUGCAAAGCAGUUGUUCCCGCAAAGAGCCGUCUAUGCUUGCCAGUAUCCCACAAGGACCAGCCUUUGGCCGUUUCGCAUCCUCUCUGCCUUAUGAUGCACUAUGGUGAUUUUCAUUAUUAAAUUAUUAUUACAUGUUUUGACUAUGGUUUACUUUUUAAUAGAAUAUUCCUACUUUUAAAUGGUUCUUAGAAGAAAGUAGUAAACACAAAGUUGUCACAACUUACUUUAUUCUGGAAAACCUCUCCAAACUUGGUUUUUGACUAUCUAUCAUUUUAAGCACCAAAAUAUUAGGAAGGGAAAGAACAUUCACCUUUUGGAUUUGCCUCCAAAAGCUCUUGAAUUAGAUUUAAUUAACUUAUUUAUUAGAUUUAGAACAAAAGUUUUAUCAUGGAGAGGUUAUAUAAGCUGAAGCCAUUAACAUUUGGAGUCUGAAAUUCUCUACCCACACUUCUAGAAUCCAAUACCUUAAAAUGUUAUAAGUAUUUUAAGCAAUUUGGAGCUCAAGAUCAAAAUCAUGACUAACAAAUUAAGGAAUUGAUUGCUUUUAAAAGAUUACACUAAAAAAUUCAUGAAGUGUCUAUUUUCUGAGUCUGGCAAAGUUGCCCAUUACCUUUUUAGCAUUUAUUUUACCAUAAAUUUUACUAUUGUAUGCAUGUAUUUGUUUAUAAUCCUAAAAGAAAGCAAUUGACAAAACCAUUAAAAAAUAGACACAACACCAUAAAAAGAGAUAGAAAUAGCAUUGUCCACCUAUGCCUUAAAGUUAAGACUUUCAAGUGGUGUUUCCUCUUCUAGGAAAAUUAGGCUCUCUAUUUAGCAUCAUGCUCAUUUUGCAAUUCCAUAGGCUCAUUUUUUAAAUUUUUUUUGAUGUAGUUUUUAAAUAUAAAGUCACAUCUAACCAAAAUGUCCCUUGACACUUAGCCCAUUAGCAACUAUAGAUACCUGUUUUAAUAGUUAUCAAAAGUGGCUCCUCUAUUCUGUCUCAAAAUCUCACAAUGACUUAUUCACUAAUUAUGUAUUCAUAAAAUCUAUUUAAUUGUAAAGCUAUUUCUAAAUAUAAAGGAUAUAUGAGUUGAUAUCUACUUACUUCAUCGAAAUCUUUGCAUAUGACAAUUAUACAUUACUCUUUCUAAAUGUACAUAAGUUAUUAUUAGAAUCUAAAUUACAUCUCAAUGCUCAAGAAUAACAAAUAUUAUAAACAAAAUAAUAUUAUUGUUAUAAGUGUAUGGAAUAUGGAAAUGGAAUACAGAAAUAUGCAUAUUAAUUAGCCCAAAAACCUAGUUUAUAUAUAAAAGCGAGUGGUCCAAGGGAUGAUGUGAGGUUCAAAUAUACAAUUACACUACCAUAUACUAAUAUUCACAUAGUGGGAUUUUGGUAGUUAUCAGAUUGGUUUCAAUCUUAGAAUGAUGGAAGACAACCAAGGUUUUCUUGUGGAUGGGCCGGGAUUUAGAGAAACAUCAAAAGGUGACAUCGAUGAAUUUAUAGGUGGUGCUAAUUGUUCUUAAUCUCUUUGUAUGAAGCAUUUUAACUAUAGCAUAUACACAAUUUCUAGAGAAUUAAUUUGUUAGACAUCUUAUUGAACCUCAUAAAUUUGCAGUCCAACUUGCCGUAACAUCUAAUAUGGUCCCUUCCACUGAGCAAAAAUCCCCUUAAAUAAACUAUGUACCAUAAUAUUGGGAAAACAAAUUAACACCAAGUCAUCCAUUUUGUACUUCAUAGGUGAACAAUAAUGGGAGUUGUAGUGUUGUUGUUGUCCCACUUAUACAUGGCCUAAGUGUUUGGCAAACUCUACUUAGGUAAGUGGAAGAAUGGUUAUCAAAUACUAAUCCCAAGACCUAGCAUCGGUAGUCAUGACAAUCACAAAAGUAAACUCAAUUCCAUUGGUAGUAUCAAAUCAUGACUAUAUAAGAGUUUAUAUAGUAAAGCAUCAACAAAACUUUACAUCCAUGUGAUAUAUGCAUAUUAAAGAGAUAGUAAGUUACCAUCUCAAUCCGAAUGUUGAAAAUUCACAUACUUAAUAAUCAUCCUUUUGAAGGUCCAAACGAGUCAUUCCACCAAAUCAUUUGAUUAUGAAUAAUAAACACUCAUGAAAAUGUGGUAUAUCCCUAAUUGAGACAUUAAGACAUGAAAUGCCUCAACUAUAAAUAUAAAACCAUUAUCUAAAAGAAUUUUCUCUAGACAGGAAUAUUGAAACACCACUCGAUUGAGGAGAAAGUAUUCAAUAGCAAUUGCAGAUGCACUAGCAAGAGCACCAACUUCUACCUAACAAGUCAAGCAGUUAGAAAAAAUAAUGAUAUACUCAUUACCAACAAUCGACUAUGGAAAAUGCCCCGUCAAAUCAAACGCCACCAACUCAGACAAAUAAGAAAUUGCAAUUAACUUCAAUUGUCCUUUUGUAGCAUGAAGGGGAAUACUACGAGCUUAGUGCUGUAAGGAACCAACUCCCCGAUAUGUCAAAGGCUAAAGGAUCACCGACCAAAAUGAUAAAGAGUUCAUCAGAUGAAAUCGAGUCCGAGAUCAAGUCCAUAACCAGCUUUAAAACCGAGUUUGAGACCGAGUCCAAGAUCGAGUCUGAGACCGACUCCGAGACCGAGUUCAAGACCGAGUCUGAGACCGAGUUCAAGACCAAGUCCGAGAUCCGAGAUUGGGUCCGCGACCGAGUCCGAGAUUGAGUCCGAGACAGAGUUUGAGGUCGGGUCCGAGAUAGAGUCCGAGAUCGAAUUCGAAACCAACUCCAAGACCGAGUCUGAGACCGAAUUCGAGACCGAGUUCAAGACUAAAUCCAAAUACUAAUAUAAAUCGUGGGGUGAAAGCCUAAAACGUGUCUCCCUGGAUGGGGGCGCUGCAAAGGGUUCCAAAACUAUAGUAGGGAUAGUGAGGUCUAGGAAUCAGUCUUAAAGGAACUUUCUAGUGGUGCUUCCAAACUGACUUGAGGUUGAAGUUGGGGUUGCGGGGCCUUGGGUGAGGGUGAGCAUGGAUUCGGGUGGUGCCAAAGGGGCCACUCAAGGAAGUGCUCAAGAGUAACUCCCACUCCUAGGAGGGAAAUCAACUGCAGUGCUCCCGACUCAUACGGGGUGGUGCCCCACUUAACUACCUUGUGGCUCAUUGAUCCUCACCCUUCUUAGGGGCUUGGGCCUUUCCCCCGGGAUGAAAGUGGGGGAGUAGAGGUACCCAUACCGGGCUAUUAGGUUAUGGUGUUUCCCCCGUAGUGUCCCAAAGCAAGUGUUGCACCUAAGGAUUGGGAUUUAGAGGGUCCCAUGAUCAAAUCUUAUGUGAGACACAAAAUCCCUAGGCCCCAAAGUAGAGCCGGAAAGGGCACCACGUGGUAGUGGCUGAAGCGAGAGCCAAACGAGCGUAACACGUUUGGACCAAAAGCUCCGACUUGAAAAGUCAAGAGCGGGAGUGGAACUCCCAACGAAGUGCUCGAGGAACGAGCACGAAGCGAGCAAAAGGCGAGGCUCCAAAAAGGGACCCAAAAGGACCAACACAUGACACGUGGGAGUGUCCGAGAUGGACUCGAGUUGGAGUCCGAAGUGGAGUCCGAGAUGGACCCGAGUUGGAGUCCGAAGUGGAGUCCGAGAUGGACCCGAGUUGGAGUCCGAAGUGGAGUCCGAGAUGGACCCGAGUUGGAGUCCGAAGUGGAGUCCGAGAUGGACCCGAGAUGGAGUCCGAGAUGGAGUCCGAAGUGGAGUCCGAGGUGGACCCGAGAUGGACCCGAGUUGGAGUCCGAAGUGGAGUCCGAGAUGGACCCGAGAUGGAGUCCGAGAUGGAGUCCGAGAUGGAGUCCGAGGUGGACCCGAGAUGGACCCGAAAUGGAGUCCGAGAUGGAGUCCGAGAUGGACCCGAGAUGGAGUCCGAGAUGGAGUCCGAGAUGGACCCGAGAUGGACCCAAGAUGGAGUUCGAGAUGGAGUCCGAGAUGGACCCGAGAUGGAGUCCGAGAUGGAGUCCGAGAUGGACCCGAGAUGGACCCAAGAUGGAGUCCGAGAUGGAGUCUGAGAUGGAGUCCGAGAUGGAGUCCGAAGUCGAGACUGAGACCGGGACCGAGACCGGGACCGAGACCGAGACCGAGACCGAGACCGAGAUCGGGACCGAGACCGAGACCGAGGCCGAGGCCGAGACCGAGCCCGAGCCCGAGUCCGAGUCCGAAUCCGAGUCCGAGUCCGAGUCCGAGUCCAAGUCCGAGUCCGGAGCCUGAGAGGGUGAAAGCCCAAAGCGUUCGUCUCCCAGACCCUGGGGGGUUUGGUGAGCUCCAAAAGUAUAGUAGGGGGAGGACUGCAGUGGAGCUAGUUUGGCCAGGAAAGGCCAGUUUGGCCCAGGAAGGCCGGACCCAGUGUUGGGUGAUGAGCUGCCCACUGGGAAGUCCAAGACUAGAGUGAACACGGACCGACAAGCGGGGUAGCUUGGUGAAGUGUUCAAGAGCUGGCUCUAGUUCCCCCGGGAGAUCGACUGGCCGAUGCUCCCAGUCCAAGUGUGGGUGGCACUACCUACUUGGAUACCAGGCGUGGCUCAACGGAACCUCGCUCUAAGCCCAUGGCUAGAGCACCCAAGGGCAGAAGGCGAGGAGAGUACCCAGGUGGCUCGCGUAAGGCCACGGUGUUCCGAAAUGUUGUCCCAAAGGCCCAGACUGUGGAAAGGAAGAGGAGCGGACACAGUCGUGUGGUGAGGAAGUCCCAGAGGACCGUGGGACUUAGUGGUCGGGCCUGUGGGUCUCGAUCCAGUGGCAGUGUUGGCAAACACGGCCAGGGGCAGAAAGGGACAUAGUGGGAACUGACAGAGGGAUAUUGAGGAAGGCUAUUCCCCUUGUCGGUGGGCAUCCUAAGGAUGCUAAGGAGUGGAUCUAAGAUGACCACUCACGGAUGGUUUGCCUAGUCUUGGAGAGCCAAGACGGUGAUGCAAGUGGUAUUGGACUACCAGUGUGGCAAAGGUGAUUGGGCAUGGCCUUAGCGUAACGGGCUGCUAUGUCGGUGGUACCUCUGAGUGUCGGUCAUGGGAUCGGACACGUGGAGCACUUGGACCAAGUGCAAAUGUUAAAUGGCAUGGAUGCCAUUCUCGGGGCUAGCAAGUCCCAAGUCCUGGAUUGGACUUAUAGAGGUUGUGAAUGAGACUCCUCCAAGUGGUCAGAGAUGUGGUUAAGUGACUAAAGUAGAAUGGAAAAUUUAGUCGCUUACAUCUUAUUGUACCAAUGGAUGUUAGGAAUUUGAAGGCUUGGUGUGCUUGGCUGCUUGUGCCUGUGGGGAAUCUAACCGAACCUUAAAUCUAAUUUAACCUAGAAAGGGGGAUUUAGAGAGAAUUUGGGAAUUUGUAGAUGGAUGGCUAACACUCUAUUGUUCAUGCAAUGAGUUGUUAAAACCAAGUAAGACCAAAUAAGAGAUGGGAAUCUUAGUGAACGAAUUUAACUAAAACCAAGGCCGUGGUGGUCGGAUAAACGAAGUAAGCUAGCAAAGUGGAAAGAAAAAAUUUGUAAUUUAUAAUUUGGUAUCGAAGCAUUUUCCUCAGUUCUAGCAAAGGAUAAAAAUGGAUUGCUAAGAGAUGGCAAAAGUAGGGCUAAAAAAAACCAAAGCGGAGAUGAAACUUCCUCCAGAGUUAAAGCCUCCGAUCAAACAAGAGACUAGGGAUGAAGAAUCCUUGCAUAAAGAGGACUCCAGUAAGGAAAUUUCUAAACAGGAGUUCAGUGGUAAAGUUCAAUCAUCCAAGGCUCGAUUAAACAUUUUAGAAGGACAAUUGGCAUAGACUAAUGCCUUGUUAGAGAUUAUUGUACACAAGUUAAAGCAUAACAAAAAGCGAAAGAAAAAGCAAAAAAUUGCAAAUGCUAACAGUGUAGAAUGUAUGGACAGUCAUAAGUUGGGCUCUAACCACGGCCUUCCAUCGACUGGCGGUGGGCAUGAGCUACACAUACCUGGAACCAGCCCCAAGUACCUGCGCUGCAACAGCAUAAGAAGAGGCUGAGUGGGCUUAUUAUUUGUACUAGUAAAACUGCCCAGCAAAGCAAAUUCUGGGCGGUUGGCAAAGUCUUCCACCAUAGGAAUUAUUUCAGAAGAGCGCAUGCAAGACUUUACCAAAAUGGAUCCACGCUUGAUCUUCUUCCA